Molecule: ribosomal RNA, 468 nt
Filed under: uncultured bacterium
Lineage: Bacteria
Description: partial 16S ribosomal RNA
Rfam family: Bacterial small subunit ribosomal RNA
Source: RNAcentral
GACGAACGCUGGCGGCGUGCUUAACACAUGCAAGUCGAACGGAAAGGCCCUGCUUUUGCGGGGUUCUCGUGUGCCGAACGGGUGAGUAACACGUGAGUAACAUGCACUUGUCUUUGGGAUAACUUCAGGAAACUGGGGCUAAUACCCGAUAGGAGCUCCUGCUGCAUGGUGGGGGUUGGAAAGUUUCGGCGGUUGGGGAUGGACUCGCGGCUUAUCAGCUUGUUGGUGGGGUAGUGGCUUACCAAGGCUUUGACGGGUAGCCGGCCUGAGAGCGUGACUGGCCACAUUGGGACUGAGAUACGGCCCAGACUCCUACGGGCCGCAGUAGUGGGGAGCAUUGCACAAUGGGCGGACGCGUGAUGCAGCAAUGCCGCGUGCGGGAUGACCGCCUUCUGGUGAUGAACCGCUUUCGCCUGUGACGAAGCGUGAGUGACGGUAAUGGAUCAAGAAGCACCGGCUAACUACGUG